CAAUAAACAGUGACUGUGACACAUGUAAGACACAAGAGGAAUUCCCAAGGUGACAGCCAAGUUCUAUAAUGGGUGCUGAGCAGUGACCAGUCCAUACUACGUCAGGUGAUGGAGGUCUCCACGAAGAAGACUUGCAGGACAAAGUACAACCAAUAACACUGUAUAGCAAGUUCAACCAUUUGGAAAACUUCUUUGAGAGUAAUUCUAUAGAGCUAUCAGAAAGCAUGAGAAGUCUUGGCCUUUAGCUCAAAGAAAAGUGAAGAAAUGAAAUGAGAUAAUUAUUCACUUCAGGAAGAAUAAAAAUCUUUAUAAAAAUUUAACUACUUGGCUCAGCAUACUUACAUAAACAUAAUAAUGAAACACUGGAUACUGAUUUAAUGAAAUAUUUUGAUGUAAAAACAUUGGAAGAGUGGUGGGAGGGGUAUAGGAGCAGAAUAAUAGAGCUAAAUUACCUACCAAAAUAGGGAGUCAACAGAUGACCUAUAAACUCAUGACUGAACAGGUAACAGCACAGUAUUGCUUAGAAAUCGAGGUACUACCAAAGAAACAGAAGAGUUAAAAAGGUAAUUCGGUAAGAGCAGGAUGGUGACAGAGGAUAGAGGACUUUAUAUUUUGUUAAAAGAUCCUCUUUUCUGGCAUUUAAAAAAUUUCAAAAACCAUGUUUAAAAAAAAUAAAUUACACAAUUAUUAAUUAGCUUGAUAAAUUAUACCAUUAUCUAGUACUGGAUUAAUUUGUCAAGUAACUCUGAAAUAUAAAAUAGGCUUCACAAUUCCAAUAACUUGAGCGAACGCGAUACAAGGGAAAGGAAUGGGGUUUUCAUAAUCCUGUGCCCUUAGCUCACUGGCUGAGGGCCAUCUGGGAGAUGGCACAGUUCCAAGCACUUUACAGGCAAAUUGGGUUCUAGUAGUUUGAGGGCAGCCUUCCAAAACAGACAGAACAAAACGUAAGGGGAAGAAAACCUCAGGCACACCCACCAAAGCAGAAAAAAAAAAAAGUGUGUGUGUGUGUGUGUGUGUGUGUG
Molecule: long non-coding RNA, 1022 nt
Organism: Manis pentadactyla (Chinese pangolin)
Lineage: Eukaryota; Metazoa; Chordata; Mammalia; Pholidota; Manidae
Exons: 2
Source: RefSeq, a predicted model, not a curated record